GAAUCAACAUCAUUAAAAGUGUAACCAUUGGGUGCACCUAAGCCUGUUUGAGAAGCAUGGGCCCAUAGCUGCACACACUGAAGAAGGCAAGUCUAUUAGGUUUCCAGUCUCACUACGAAAGUCAGGAGCAUUGAAGUACACAACCAACUUAACAAAGACCGGAAAAGGAGCUGAAUUCUGAAAGUGCUUUGAGGAAGUUAAUUGACCAUGUUGUUUUCAUUUGCUUGGAAAGGAAUUCCCUUUGAAAGCAAAAUGAGAGAAACAUGGUAAUUAACCAUAACUUCACUACCCUUC
Myotis myotis is the source of this 294-nucleotide long non-coding RNA. RefSeq lists it as uncharacterized. The transcript has 4 exons. The record is from RefSeq and is a predicted model, not a curated record. Lineage: Eukaryota; Metazoa; Chordata; Mammalia; Chiroptera; Vespertilionidae.